Long non-coding RNA from Toxorhynchites rutilus septentrionalis, 728 nucleotides. RefSeq lists it as uncharacterized. Lineage: Eukaryota; Metazoa; Arthropoda; Insecta; Diptera; Culicidae. The transcript has 3 exons. The record is from RefSeq and is a predicted model, not a curated record.
CCAGCUCAUCAUGGUGAACAGCUCAGAUCAGUUCAGCUCACCUAAAAGAGCUGUUCUUUAUGAACAGCUCUUCAGCUCAGUUGUCAAUACGCUAUACUCAUCGGAAAACAAAAUGUUACUGCGUGUGUACUGGAGCAAAACUAUCGUAAAUUUUUGUCAUUUCUCUAGUCUCUUUCUUUAUUCGUCAUUUCUCUAGUGGAAGGGAAUCGAUUCGGAGGUUCCGCGCAGGAAGCGAUGGAUAUCAGUUUGGCGAAUGAUGCACAAUCUCAACAACUUCGCCACACAACUAUAGUUCUACAACAGUACACCCAGCGAAAACCAUCACCAUUACUACCACCGACAGUAGCCCACAAAAUAGACAAAAUUAAAGAAUCUUCUAUCGAUAGUGGCAAGAAUGAAGGCGAUUUGGCACCGGUUCCGAAACCGGUCGACAGCACUACGAACGUAGCUAUUUCAGCAGAUUUGAUGUUCCAAUGUGACAAACGACGACGACUUCGGGCUUGGCGCCCGAGAGCAAUAACUCCGACACAGAGAUCCUGAACCAAUGUCGAUACAGUAGAAGAAAAAAUCCGCCUACAGCCUAGUGUCAAACCGAGUCAGUUGCCCCUACUGGCAGGUUACCUUCGGACAACAAUUAGUAGACAGACAGAUAGUAGACAUUUUAAAUUUGAUUGGAUUUCAAACAAAAAUUAUUAAGUAAAAUCAAACAAACAUUUUCACAAACUUAA